CUGGCGGCACUAGCGCGGUGGUCCCACCUGACCCCAUGCCGAACUCAGAAGUGAAACGCCGUAGCGCCGAUGGUAGUGUGGGGUCUCCCCAUGCGAGAGUAGGGAACUGCCAGGCUUU
This 118-nucleotide ribosomal RNA is filed under the name Budvicia aquatica. The record is from RNAcentral. Lineage: Bacteria; Pseudomonadati; Pseudomonadota; Gammaproteobacteria; Enterobacterales; Budviciaceae.